This 244-nucleotide ribosomal RNA is filed under the name uncultured Actinomycetales bacterium. RNAcentral describes it as "partial 16S ribosomal RNA". It matches the Rfam family "Bacterial small subunit ribosomal RNA", at positions 89 to 334 of the family's 1533-position model. The record is from RNAcentral. Lineage: Bacteria; Bacillati; Actinomycetota; Actinomycetes; Actinomycetales.
GCUCGAGUGGCGAACGGGUGAGUAACACGUGAGUAACCUGCCCUUGACUUUGGGAUAACUUCAGGAAGCUGGGGCUAAUACCGGAUAGGAGCUCCUGCUGCAUGGUGGGGGUUGGAAAGUUUCGGCGGUUGGGGAUGGACUCGCGGCUUAUCAGCUUGUUGGUGGGGUAGUGGCUUACCAAGGCUUUGACGGGUAGCCGGCCUGAGAGGGUGACCGGCCACAUUGGGACUGAGAUACGGCCCAG